This is a transfer RNA of Loxodonta africana (African savanna elephant), 72 nucleotides long. It matches the Rfam family "tRNA". From Rfam's summary of the family: Transfer RNA (tRNA) molecules are approximately 80 nucleotides in length. Their secondary structure includes four short double-helical elements and three loops (D, anti-codon, and T loops). Further hydrogen bonds mediate the characteristic L-shaped molecular structure. tRNAs have two regions of fundamental functional importance: the anti-codon, which is responsible for specific mRNA codon recognition, and the 3' end, to which the tRNAs corresponding amino acid is attached (by aminoacyl-tRNA synthetases). tRNAs cope with the degeneracy of the genetic code in two manners: having more than one tRNA (with a specific anti-codon) for a particular amino acid; and 'wobble' base-pairing, i.e. permitting non-standard base-pairing at the 3rd anti-codon position. Lineage: Eukaryota; Metazoa; Chordata; Mammalia; Proboscidea; Elephantidae. The record is from Rfam.
GGGGGUAUAGGUCAGUGGUAGAGCAUUUGACUGCACAUCAAGAGGUCCCUGGUGCAGAUCCACGUGCCCCCU